GACGAACGCUGGCGGCGUGCUUAACACAUGCAAGUCGAACGGAAAGACCCUGCUUUUGUGGGGUGCUCGAGUGGCGAACGGGUGAGUAACACGUGAGUAACCUGCCCUUGACUUUGGGAUAACUUCAGGAAACUGGGGCUAAUACCGGAUAGGAGCUCCUGCUGCAUGGUGGGGGUUGGAAAGUUUCGGCGGUUGGGGAUGGACUCGCGGCUUAUCAGCUUGUUGGUGGGGUAGUGGCUUACCAAGGCUUUGACGGGUAGCCGGCCUGGGAGGGUGACCGCCCACAUGCGGACUGGGGCACGGCCCAGACUCGUAGGGGGGGCAGCAGUGGAGAAUAUGGCGCACUGGGGGGAAGCCUGAUGAAGCAACGCCGCGUGCGGGAUGGCGUCCCUCGGGUGGUAAACCGCUUUCGCCUGUGACGAAGCGUGAGUGAGGGUAAUGGGAAAAGAAGCACCGGAUAACUAGGUGCCGGCGGCCGCGGUAAUGAUGAAGAACACACGUCUGACC
RNAcentral lists this ribosomal RNA (507 nucleotides) under uncultured bacterium. RNAcentral's name for it is "partial 16S ribosomal RNA". It matches the Rfam family "Bacterial small subunit ribosomal RNA", at positions 33 to 541 of the family's 1533-position model. The record is from RNAcentral.